Perca flavescens (yellow perch) is the source of this 1769-nucleotide long non-coding RNA. RefSeq lists it as uncharacterized. The record is from RefSeq and is a predicted model, not a curated record. The transcript has 3 exons. NCBI's taxonomy places the organism in Eukaryota, Metazoa, Chordata, Actinopteri, Perciformes, Percidae.
GACAGAGACAACGUGAGCAACGUGUCUGAAAGUUAGAUCAGGGCCUGCUGCAGCCACGCCUCGGUGCUUUAAUGAACCCAUUUGGCAGCGCACGUUGAAACUGGCAAAGGACCGUGUUCUGGUCACUGCUGCUGGUCGUCUGUGGUGCUCUCUGAGCUGUUGUACUGUUUUUAUGUCUCGGGAGCCUCUGGCGCUGUGCGACCGGAAAGUAUCCCCGAGGAUCUCGGCCGAGGACUUCAUCAACCUCUGUGAGCUGUCAUUGGCCGGGCCCACCAAAAGGACCGAAGCCGGCAGGCGAAAAAUCAUUGCUGUCGACAUCCGCAGUAGAGGAGUAUCCUUACCAAUUCUCUGAAAUUAAGAAAUUUACCUACCAGUCCCGUAAAAGUCCCUAUAAUGGUGGCAUUUUAACAUCCAAAUACAUUGCACAAUCUUUCUCUGCUGAGGCACAUCAGGAAGCCAUGCACAGAGACUUGAUUGUGUCCAACAAAGCAAAUACAACACAUGUAAGAUAAGGUUGUUUUGAGCAGAAUUUACCUUAGCAAACCUGCUCCAACUUAAACCUUUCUGUUACUUAAGCUCUAUAAAUCUUGCAUUUUACACUUUAACUUACUUUAACUUUAACUGAGAUGCAAGUAAGGAAAAAGAUUCUGAUGAUCCAUGAUCUAAACUCUUUUCCUUCCUGUGUUAAUAACUUCAGAACAGGUGAAAAAAAUGUUUGGUUUGGUGGACUUUGGUGCACUGGAAGGCUAAGUGAAAAGCUGUCUGUCAGGAUGGAGGACGGAGAAGGAGAUGCAACAUUCAUAGUGUUGCACUCUUUGUACACAUUACAAGUGACAGAAAAAAGUGGUGUAAGGAAUGAAAAAAGAGAGCUAGAGAGAAAAUACAGUAAAUAGUGUGAGUACGCUUGUAAAUAUACAGUAAACUGUGGGAGCUAGUAGAAGAAUUAUUGGACAAUACAUUUACUUCUUUACAAACACCUUUAAAAGAACCAUAACAAAAGUGUUUUUGUCUUGUUCAAGCUAGUAGGUUGGAAGAUAAAACAAUAAAAACACAGAUUUUGAAAUACAAUUAUUGAUGUCAUCAAGUAUGAAAUAGAUGGAGUCAGUGGAUUAAGAUAAGACUACACACUACAACUCAGUGUCCACCUGUUAUACAGUUUCUUUUAAGGUCAGAAGUAUAGGAAUAUAGUGGCCCAGAAAACCUUGCCUGUACAAUAUGCAAAGGACCAGAAGGAGUAAUUCUCACCCUACAGAUCAGUGGAAUGGUAAUUGUGUGAAGGGGGUUAAAGAGCCAUUUAUCAGUAAGGAUUAGUUGUUAGAGCAAGGAUUUUGGAGAAUGGAGCCUCCUGCUAGUUGAAGGCUCCUCAGGCUAACCCACAUGAACAAAAGGGAUUUGACCACUUUCACAGGAUUUAAUAACCCUUUGUCACCUUUAUUGUGAUCUUGGCCAAAGCUAUGUUGUGGGUGUCUGCGGUCACAAAAAGUGGAUUAUAUUAAGACCUCUGUGGGGUUAAUCAGGACAAUCUAGAUUUAGAUGUCUAGGUACCUGGUGGUUUUUCUCUGCUGUAAAACAACUGGCAUGUACUUGUAAUUCCAAGGUUUAAUGUACCACAAUGGAAUUUGUCAGCUCGUGGAUUUUACACUGCAUUAUGUAACAUACUGACUCUAUUUUAACGAUCUAAGCGCACUGCGUGAAGCUCAUGGCACAAGUAAGUUUUGGGUGUGUCCAAAUCCACUUUUCCUCAUUUAAUGGCGGAAAAAAAGGGUCUG